GAAUCCCUCAGCCUCUUAAACUCAGCCUUCAGAUGAAUCCCUCAGCCUCUUAAACUCAGCCUUUCUCUGUCUCUCAACUCAAUCUUAACUCAACGAAGAAAAAAAAAAAAGCAGAAUGAGGAGAGCGAGAGAGAAGGGAAGAAGAGGAAAAAAAAAAAUUAUGGAAUGGGUUUUUAUGUUUUGCUGUUUUGGAUUGUGAUGAAGCGAGAGAGAAGAGGGAAGAGGAAGUAGGGAAAGAGACGGAGAAAUAGAAGAAGAAAGAAAAAGAAAAGCAGAUAGAGGAGAGCGAGAGAGAGAAUGGAAGAAGAGGGAAAAAAAGGUAUGGAGUGGGUCUUUAUAUUUUACUGUUUUGGAUUGUGAUGGAGGAGAGAGAAGAGGGAAGAGGAAGAAGAGAAAGAGAGGGAGAGAGACGGAGAGAUAGAUGAAGAAAGGGAGAGAGAGAGAGUGUGUAUGUGUGUGUGAAACGGAAGAGGAAGAAGAGGAAUAAAUAAAUAAUAUAAAAAGGGAGAGAUGGGUGAAUGCCCAAAAGAGAAAGAGAAGGCAGGUUGCGUGUAUCUGCAACCUUGGGAAGUUUAGACAAAAAAAAAGGAAAAAAAAAACCUUGGGAAGUGGGAAAUGUGACUUAAUUACUUAAUAUAAUUUAUUUCUUUUCUAUUUAAUCCAUUUAAUGUUAUUGAUUAUUUUAUUAUUCAUUAUAAGUACUUACAUUACUAAAUUCUCC
RNAcentral lists this long non-coding RNA (721 nucleotides) under Prunus persica (peach). Its description in RNAcentral is "long non-coding RNA (PPER_LNC008011)". The record is from RNAcentral. Lineage: Eukaryota; Viridiplantae; Streptophyta; Magnoliopsida; Rosales; Rosaceae.